This 1489-nucleotide ribosomal RNA is filed under the name Lactiplantibacillus argentoratensis. RNAcentral describes it as "bacterial SSU rRNA". It matches the Rfam family "Bacterial small subunit ribosomal RNA". Lineage: Bacteria; Bacillati; Bacillota; Bacilli; Lactobacillales; Lactobacillaceae. The record is from RNAcentral.
GACGAACGCUGGCGGCGUGCCUAAUACAUGCAAGUCGAACGAACUCUGGUAUUGAUUGGUGCUUGCAUCAUGAUUUACAUUUGAGUGAGUGGCGAACUGGUGAGUAACACGUGGGAAACCUGCCCAGAAGCGGGGGAUAACACCUGGAAACAGAUGCUAAUACCGCAUAACAACUUGGACCGCAUGGUCCGAGCUUGAAAGAUGGCUUCGGCUAUCACUUUUGGAUGGUCCCGCGGCGUAUUAGCUAGAUGGUGGGGUAACGGCUCACCAUGGCAAUGAUACGUAGCCGACCUGAGAGGGUAAUCGGCCACAUUGGGACUGAGACACGGCCCAAACUCCUACGGGAGGCAGCAGUAGGGAAUCUUCCACAAUGGACGAAAGUCUGAUGGAGCAACGCCGCGUGAGUGAAGAAGGGUUUCGGCUCGUAAAACUCUGUUGUUAAAGAAGAACAUAUCUGAGAGUAACUGUUCAGGUAUUGACGGUAUUUAACCAGAAAGCCACGGCUAACUACGUGCCAGCAGCCGCGGUAAUACGUAGGUGGCAAGCGUUGUCCGGAUUUAUUGGGCGUAAAGCGAGCGCAGGCGGUUUUUUAAGUCUGAUGUGAAAGCCUUCGGCUCAACCGAAGAAGUGCAUCGGAAACUGGGAAACUUGAGUGCAGAAGAGGACAGUGGAACUCCAUGUGUAGCGGUGAAAUGCGUAGAUAUAUGGAAGAACACCAGUGGCGAAGGCGGCUGUCUGGUCUGUAACUGACGCUGAGGCUCGAAAGUAUGGGUAGCAAACAGGAUUAGAUACCCUGGUAGUCCAUACCGUAAACGAUGAAUGCUAAGUGUUGGAGGGUUUCCGCCCUUCAGUGCUGCAGCUAACGCAUUAAGCAUUCCGCCUGGGGAGUACGGCCGCAAGGCUGAAACUCAAAGGAAUUGACGGGGGCCCGCACAAGCGGUGGAGCAUGUGGUUUAAUUCGAAGCUACGCGAAGAACCUUACCAGGUCUUGACAUACUAUGCAAAUCUAAGAGAUUAGACGUUCCCUUCGAGGACAUGGAUACAGGUGGUGCAUGGUUGUCGUCAGCUCGUGUCGUGAGAUGUUGGGUUAAGUCCCGCAACGAGCGCAACCCUUAUUAUCAGUUGCCAGCAUUAAGUUGGGCACUCUGGUGAGACUGCCGGUGACAAACCGGAGGAAGGUGGGGAUGACGUCAAAUCAUCAUGCCCCUUAUGACCUGGGCUACACACGUGCUACAAUGGAUGGUACAACGAGUUGCGAACUCGCGAGAGUAAGCUAAUCUCUUAAAGCCAUUCUCAGUUCGGAUUGUAGGCUGCAACUCGCCUACAUGAAGUCGGAAUCGCUAGUAAUCGCGGAUCAGCAUGCCGCGGUGAAUACGUUCCCGGGCCUUGUACACACCGCCCGUCACACCAUGAGAGUUUGUAACACCCAAAGUCGGCGGGGUAACCUUUUAGGAACCAGCCGCCUAAGGUGGGACAGAUGAUUAGGGUG